Molecule: small nucleolar RNA, 70 nt
Filed under: Pteropus vampyrus (large flying fox)
Lineage: Eukaryota; Metazoa; Chordata; Mammalia; Chiroptera; Pteropodidae
Description: Small nucleolar RNA SNORD112 (ENSPVAG00000029981.1)
Source: RNAcentral
UGAACCAAUAAUAAAAGCAUCAUGAGCCAAGAAUAAGGAUUUAGCCAAUUCUGUGUGCCCGAGGUGCAUU